Non-coding RNA from Manis javanica (Malayan pangolin), 1136 nucleotides. NCBI's taxonomy places the organism in Eukaryota, Metazoa, Chordata, Mammalia, Pholidota, Manidae. The record is from RefSeq and is a predicted model, not a curated record.
GUAUCUUUUCAUUGGAAACUUUUAGGAAGCCUAAAGAAAAGCAGAAUAUUUCUUAGAUAGAUGUGUAACAAUUUUUGGCAAAAGGGCUUGACAUUAAAUGAUCAAAUACUAUAAAAUUUUGGAAAGAAUUUGUCCCACUUCAUCAUUCACCUUUCAGAAAAGAACCUGGGACUAUCGGACUUCCGUAAGAAUUACAGAGAACAGGUGGACUGUUUUGCAAGGGUGAUGCUCUCCCAUUCUCUCCUCUCAAUGUGAACUCUCUCUUCUGUCGGCCCUGUUGCACCUCCAGCCUCAUCCUGAGGAAAACUUCCAGGCAGCCUCGAUUUCAACAGAAGACCUCAAACUAAAUUUGACAGUGUCAAGUGAGAAACACUGAGGAAAUGUUAUCGGUGGGGCCUUCAAGAACGGAGAUGAAGUUUUCGAGAAGAGGAACUACAGAGGAGAAAUACUGUAACAAGCACGUGUCUAGAGACUUUCACAGCCCACUGGUCUCUGAUCCAUACAGUCAGGAGUUAAUGUAUGGAAGUGCCAUGCUCGUACACUCUACCCGUGAAAGGAGAAAGAGGUGAGGGGCUGCUACCUGGAGGAGGAGCUGCAUCCUGUCCUGAGUCAGAAUCCCCACCUCAGGAUCAAUGCUGAAGAUAAGUCUGAAAGCUGCGUUUCCUUUUGUGUUGGAAUCGCUUUCUCAAACUUACUCAAACAGAAGAAAUACUUGUUAAAAAUAUGGAUUCCCAAGAUCCUCCCAUUGAAAAUCUGAUUUGAAAAUGAACAUGAAGGAUAAUCAGAGAAAGAAGAAGAAAAUUAAAAUUCAAGGACCGUCAUAAAAAUAAGCUAUAUUCAAUAUUAAGCUAUGCCUAUUAUUGUUAUAAGACACAUCCCAUUGAGAUGAAUGUAUUACAAUUUGUGGCAAAGACCAUUGCCGGGUGAUCCACUGGACAUAUCAUUACUAGCAUCUUUUCUGAGUAUAACAUGCAUGCAGAGGAAGGCGAGCCCUGUUAAGUGCACAGCUGGACAACAUUCACCAGGAAUCAGCACUCAGAGAGGGAAACAGGACGGGGUCCGCACCCUGGAAUCCAGCCUCAGGCCACCUGCCAGUCACGACCCCUCCCAAAGACAAUCAACUAUCCUGACUUCUA